The sequence is a transfer RNA, 77 nucleotides long. It matches the Rfam family "tRNA". From Rfam's summary of the family: Transfer RNA (tRNA) molecules are approximately 80 nucleotides in length. Their secondary structure includes four short double-helical elements and three loops (D, anti-codon, and T loops).
GUCAGGGUAGCUCAGUUGGUGAGAGCGCAGGAUUCAUAACCCUGAGGUCGGGAGUUCGAAUCUCCCCCCUGACACAA